This 475-nucleotide ribosomal RNA is filed under the name uncultured bacterium. Its description in RNAcentral is "bacterial SSU rRNA". It matches the Rfam family "Bacterial small subunit ribosomal RNA", at positions 25 to 518 of the family's 1533-position model. The record is from RNAcentral.
CAGGACGAACGCUGGCGGCGUGCCUAACACAUGCAAGUCGAGCGAGGAGAUCCUCGGGAUGAUCCUAGCGGCGGACGGGUGAGUAACACGUGGGCAACCUGCCUCAUAGAGAGGAAUAGCCUUCCGAAAGGGAGAUUAAUACCUCAUAACAUUGCAGUUUCGCAUGGAACAGCAAUUAAAGGAGCAAUCCGCUAUGAGAUGGGCCCGCGGCGCAUUAGCUAGUUGGUGAGGUAACGGCUCACCAAGGCGACGACGCGUAGCCGACCUGAGAGGGUGAUCGGCCACAUUGGGACUGAGACACGGCCCAGACUCCUACGGGAGGCAGCAGUGGGGAAUAUUGCACAAUGGGGGAAACCCUGAUGCAAGCAACGCCGCGUGAGUGAUGACGGCCUUCGGGUUGUAAAGCUCUGUCUUCAGGGACGAUAAUGACGGUACCUGAGGAGGAAGCCACGGCUAACUACGUGCCAGCCGCUGC